Etheostoma cragini (Arkansas darter) is the source of this 236-nucleotide long non-coding RNA. RefSeq lists it as uncharacterized. The record is from RefSeq and is a predicted model, not a curated record. Lineage: Eukaryota; Metazoa; Chordata; Actinopteri; Perciformes; Percidae. The transcript has 3 exons.
UUGUGUGGAUUUUCACGAUGACGAUGCCAAACCGGUACUUUUAAAACGAUUCUGAUUCUUAAAAAACUGAAAAAUGACAUCAAAGCAAGGCUCUUUUAUAGAGUUUUUUUAAACAGAAAAUUAUUUAAAUUUAACAAUAUAUUAACGUUUUAAAGUACUUAAAUAGAUAAUAAGUAAACCUAAGUCACCUAACACAUAACUACAAAAAAAAACUAAAUUAACAAAUAAAAGUAACA